UUGCCUUAGUAGCGGCGAGUGAGCGGCAAAAGCUCAAAUUUGAAAUCUGGCGCCUUCGGUGUCCGAGUUGUAAUUUGAAGAUUGUAACCUUGGGGUUGGCUCUUGUCUAUGUUUCUUGGAACAGGACGUCACAGAGGGUGAGAAUCCCGUGCGAUGAGAUGCCCAAUUCUAUGUAAGGUGCUUUCGAAGAGUCGAGUUGUUUGGGAAUGCAGCUCUAAGUGGGUGGUAAAUUCCAUCUAAAGCUAAAUAUUGGCGAGAGACCGAUAGCGAACAAGUACAGUGAUGGAAAGAUGAAAAGAACUUUGAAAAGAGAGUGAAAAAGUACGUGAAAUUGUUGAAAGGGAAGGGUUUGAGAUCAGACUCGAUAUUUUGUGAGCCUUGCCUUCGUGGCGGGGUGACCCGCAGCUUAUCGGGCCAGCAUCGGUUUGGGCGGUAGGAUAAUGGCGUAGGAAUGUGACUUUACUUCGGUGAAGUGUUAUAGCCUGCGUUGAUGCUGCCUGCCUAGACCGAGGACUGCGAUUUUAUCAAGGAUGCUGGCAUAAUGAUCCCAAACCGCCCGUCUUGAACCACGGACCA
RNAcentral lists this ribosomal RNA (576 nucleotides) under Meyerozyma guilliermondii. RNAcentral describes it as "LSU rRNA". It matches the Rfam family "Eukaryotic large subunit ribosomal RNA", at positions 75 to 668 of the family's 3401-position model. Lineage: Eukaryota; Fungi; Ascomycota; Pichiomycetes; Serinales; Debaryomycetaceae. The record is from RNAcentral.